This is a long non-coding RNA of Apodemus sylvaticus (European woodmouse), 214 nucleotides long. RefSeq lists it as uncharacterized. Lineage: Eukaryota; Metazoa; Chordata; Mammalia; Rodentia; Muridae. The record is from RefSeq and is a predicted model, not a curated record. The transcript is spliced from 3 exons.
ACGUCACCGAGCGCUGUGCACACGCACACAUGCUUCACGUCACCAAGCGCUGUGCACAGGUGCACAUGCUUCAUGUCACCGAGCGCUGUGCACAGGUGCACAUGCUUCCCGUCACCGAGCGCUGUGCACAGGUGUACAUGCUUCACGUCACCCAGCGCUGUGCACAGGUGCACAUGCUUCACGUCACCCAGCGCUGUGCAUGUGUACAUGCUUC